CUGUUCCCUGAGAAGGCGGGCUACAACGAGCUCAAUCAGAUGGCCGAGGAGGCGAAACAGAGGGCCGAGAUUGCAAGGCUCAAGGAGCUCCACACUCUCAAGGGGCAUGUGGAGUCAGUUGUGAAGCUGAAGGGCCUCGACAUCGACACCAUUCAACAAUCUUACACCAUGUGA
RNAcentral lists this ribosomal RNA (174 nucleotides) under Triticum aestivum (bread wheat). RNAcentral's name for it is "partial small subunit ribosomal RNA". Lineage: Eukaryota; Viridiplantae; Streptophyta; Magnoliopsida; Poales; Poaceae. The record is from RNAcentral.